GACUUUCGCUAAGAAAGUCUUUUGACACCUCUAAAAAUGGUGUAGAAUAAGGGGUGGGCAAGUCUGGUGUCAGCCGCCGCGGUAAUACCAGCACCCCGAGUGGUCGGGACGAUCAUUGGGCCUAAAGCAUCCGUAGCCGGUUUUACAAGUCCUCCGUUAAAUCCAGCUGCUUAACAGAUGGGCUGCGGAGGAUACUAUAAGACUAGGAGGCAGGAGAGGCAAGCGGUACUCAGUGGGUAGGGGUAAAAUCCGUUGAUCCAUUGAAGACCACCAGUGGCGAAGGCGGCUUGCCAGAAUGCGCUCGACGGUGAGGGAUGAAAGCUGGGGGAGCAAACCGGAUUAGAUACCCGGGUAGUCCCAGCUGUAAACGAUGCAGACUCGGUGAUGGACUAGCUUUAUGCUAGUCCAGUGCCGCAGGGAAGCCGUUAAGUCUGCCGCCUGGGUAGUACGGUCGCAAGACUGAAACUUAAAGGAAUUGGCGGGGGAGCACCACAAGGGGUGAAGCCUGCGGUUCAAUUGGAGUCAACGCCGGGAAUCUUACCGGGGGCGACAGCAGGAUGAAGGUCAAGCUGAAGACUUUACUAGACAAGCUGAGAGGAGGUGCAUGGCCGUCGCCAGCUCGUGCCGUGAGGUGUCCUGUUAAGUCAGGUAACGAGCGAGACCCCUGCUUCUAGUUGCUACUUUUAUUCCUCGGAGUAGAAGGGCUAAUUAGAAGGACUGCCGCCGCUAAGGCGGAGGAAGGAGGGGGCUACGGCAGGUCAGUAUGCCCCGAAACCCUCGGGCCACACGCGGGCUGCAAUGGUAAGUACAAUAGGUUCCGAUUCCGAAAGGAGGAGGCAAUCCCGUAAAACUUACCACAGUUAUGAUUGAGGGCUGAAACUCGUCCUCAUGAAUAUGGAAUCCCUAGUAU
RNAcentral lists this ribosomal RNA (910 nucleotides) under uncultured crenarchaeote. RNAcentral describes it as "bacterial SSU rRNA". It matches the Rfam family "Archaeal small subunit ribosomal RNA", at positions 385 to 1297 of the family's 1478-position model. Lineage: Archaea; Thermoproteati; Thermoproteota. The record is from RNAcentral.